CCUACGGGAGGCUGCAGUGGGGGAUAUUGGACAAUGGGCGAAAGCCUGAUCCAGCCAUGCCGCGUGUGUGAAGAAGGCCUUCGGGUUGUAAAGCACUUUCAGUGGGGAAGAAAGCCUUGGGGCUAAUACCCUCGAGGAAGGACAUCACCCACAGAAGAAGCACCGGCUAACUCCGUGCCAGCAGCCGCGGUAAUACGGAGGGUGCGAGCGUUAAUCGGAAUUACUGGGCGUAAAGCGCGCGUAGGCGGUCUGAUAAGCCGGUUGUGAAAGCCCCGGGCUCAACCUGGGAACGGCAUCCGGAACUGUCAGGCUAGAGUGCAGGAGAGGAAGGUAGAAUUCCCGGUGUAGCGGUGAAAUGCGUAGAGAUCGGGAGGAAUACCAGUGGCGAAGGCGGCCUUCUGGACUGACACUGACGCUGAGGUGCGAAAGCGUGGGUAGCAAACAGGAUUAGAUACCCUGGUAGUC
Molecule: ribosomal RNA, 465 nt
Filed under: Vreelandella stevensii
Lineage: Bacteria; Pseudomonadati; Pseudomonadota; Gammaproteobacteria; Oceanospirillales; Halomonadaceae
Description: partial 16S ribosomal RNA
Rfam family: Bacterial small subunit ribosomal RNA
Source: RNAcentral